RNAcentral lists this ribosomal RNA (237 nucleotides) under uncultured bacterium. RNAcentral describes it as "partial 16S ribosomal RNA". It matches the Rfam family "Bacterial small subunit ribosomal RNA", at positions 99 to 334 of the family's 1533-position model. The record is from RNAcentral.
CGCACGGGUGAGUAACACGUAUCCAACCUGCCGUCUAUUCUUGGCCAGCCUUCUGAAAGGAAGAUUAAUCCAGGAUGGCAUCAUGAGUUCACAUGUCCGCAUGAUUAAAGGUAUUUUCCGGUAGACGAUGGGGAUGCGUUCCAUUAGAUAGUAGGCGGGGUAACGGCCCACCUAGUCAACGAUGGAUAGGGGUUCUGAGAGGAAGGUCCCCCACAUUGGAACUGAGACACGGUCCAA